Molecule: long non-coding RNA, 236 nt
Filed under: Mytilus galloprovincialis (Mediterranean mussel)
Lineage: Eukaryota; Metazoa; Mollusca; Bivalvia; Mytilida; Mytilidae
Source: RNAcentral
UGUGUAAAUUACAUGGCAGGGGAAAGGAAUAGUCUAAACCCCCAAAGAUCUCAGGUUGAUAAUACAUCAUAUCCGGUAUACUCAUGGGUGCUAUUACUUCCUGCCGUUGCUGUCGAAUUCUGUGACUAUUCCAUGUCAAGCUGAUGUUGCACGAUCGAGAGGUAGCAAAAUCGGACACAUUCUAUAUGAAUAGGUGAUGAAACAUCUAGAACACCAGUAUCUUGAAGAUCUCGGAA